AUUUAGAAACGUGCAUGUAUACUAAAACUGGAAGGAUACGAAGAAGAUUAGUAUGGCCCCUGCAUAAGGAUGAUACGAAAAAUCGUGAUGCGUACGAUUUUAAA
Small nuclear RNA from Schistocerca nitens (vagrant locust), 104 nucleotides. The record is from RefSeq and is a predicted model, not a curated record. Lineage: Eukaryota; Metazoa; Arthropoda; Insecta; Orthoptera; Acrididae.